This 23942-nucleotide long non-coding RNA is filed under the name Populus tremula. RNAcentral describes it as "long non-coding RNA (PTRE_LNC000517)". Lineage: Eukaryota; Viridiplantae; Streptophyta; Magnoliopsida; Malpighiales; Salicaceae. The record is from RNAcentral.
GGCCUUCUAAUUCAAUCUCUAUUUAUUAUUAGUACACACCGUGAUUCUUCUUUUGAUUCUCCCCGAGGCCUUUCACGGGCCUAUAUGAGAAAUGUUUGUGGUAUGCACUUUCUGUUGGUGUUGGAUUUGGAUGGCUGGAUAGAGCGCUUACCUGAUGAAUUGGGAGACUUGAUUCACCUGAGGUACUUAGGCUUGUUUUACUCACAACUAGAUGAGCUUCCAGGGACUUUAGGGAAUCUUAAAAGACUGCAAACUUUGGAUAUAAGGGGGUGUGGAAAACUACGCAAACUACCAAUACAAAUUCUGCAUAUCCAGCAGUUGAGACACCUUCUAAUGUCCCACUGCUUUAAUGAUGGUGAAAUUAGAGUUCCGAAGGGCAUUGGAACAUUGGUAAAUCUUCACACUUUGUCUGGUAUUUAUGGUGGAGAUGAUAUUGCCAUGGAAUUGAUUGCCUUAACCCAGCUACGAGAGCUCGGCGUUAAGCGUGUGAGUGCCGAUCAUGCCAGUGAGCUGUUUGCAGCUAUAAAGAAGAUGGAGAACCUCACAUCCCUAUCGCUAGAAGCAGAGGGAAACUACUUUGAAGGUACUAUUUUUCCUGAAUCGGAUGCGUUUUCUCCUCCGCCACUUCUUCAAGAGUUUUCCUUACGUGGGGGUUUAAUUGAGAUGCCCGUUUGGUUUGCCUCCAUGGAAAACCUCACCCACCUAUCAUUAGGGUAUUCUAAUCUAUCCGAGAAUCCAACUUCAGUCCUUCAGUUGAUUCCCAAAUUGAAGCAUCUUAAACUCUGGGAAGCCUACAAGGCAAGGCACAUUGGUAAAGAAUUUUGCAAUGCAGGUGGUUUCCCUGUGCUGGAAACUCUCACAAUUGCUUCUGCGUUCCUGGCGGAAUGGACUGAAAUUGAAACUGGAGCUUUUCCACGUUUAAGAUAUCUUUGUUUUUAUUGCUGUCCAAGCUUGAUGUUUCUUCCUGAAGGGUUGCAGAACAUUUCCACACUUCAAGAUCUGUGUUUCUUCCCCUGGAAUCCAGACCUUAAAAGGCGAUUGAAGGGUGAAGAGAAUUACAAGAUCAAGCAUGUCCGAGUAUUUGGGAAGGUUUGAGAACCGUUGAUUUUCCAACCAAGAAAUGGAAAAACAUCAACCACAAUAGUUUCCAGAGGAAGUUUUUCGAGGAUGAAAUGCUUUUGCUUUACUCCUCAAAUAUCAUCUCCUGCUUUCUGUUCAUUUACUUCAAUAUUCUGGUGAUGUGUGCUAUCCUCUACUGUCUUGUAUACCUAAAUUUGUGCAAUCUCCAGCGGAGAAACCAGUGUCCUAGACUCCAAAAAAUCUAUCUUGAUGAUGAACGAUGUGUUUAUCUAUUUGCAUUUCCUUAAUAUCUGGAUUAUUAUCUAAUUAUUCUAUAGAAUUGCCCUUCUUCUAGAUUUCUCUCUAAGGAUUGAAUCAUUAGAAAAUCAAGGUUUUUUAUUCCUGUUUUUUUCGCUUGAAGUGGACUUGCUAGGUAAGAAACACGUCUAUUAUAUUGGCAGCAGUUCAUAUAAAUUAUACAUCCCAUUCCGUGUUUACAUAGAAUCAAAGGCGUAACAAAUAUUGUUUAUGCCUUUUAUUUUAUUCAAUUAAUUAAUUUUAUAUAUGUUUAUUUUUUUAUUAUUUAUUUAAAUAAAAUAUUAAUUUUUGUGAACAGAUUGUCUUGAAGAUCCAAGUUGCAAGAUCAAAUAUCUUGGUCUAUAUGCGACUUUUAACUUUUUAAUUUUUAUUUUUAUUUAUCAGUAAUGAUUAUUUAUUUAUUUAUUAACAUAUGUAUUUUUUAAUUUAUUUUAUUAGAUGUAUAAAUAAGUUUUUUUUAAUUUUGAUUAAAAACAAAACAUUGAAAAAAUCUACAUAUUUAUUUUUUUAUAAAAACCUCAAAGUUAAAUAGCUAUUAAAAACUAGCCGCCAUUGUAGGGUUUGAUAGAAAAGAUAUUGGGCUGGUAUAUCAUAUUAUUACUGUUAUUAACUAUUACCACUAUAUACUAAAAAAUAACAACAGUGCAUUAUUGUGCUCAAUUUGGACAGGACUUUUCAAGAACAAUGUUGUUUUUUUUUUUUUCAUUUUGAUCAUCAAAUAUUAUUAUGAUUAUCAGUAUUAUUGUUAUAUUCUUGCAAGUUAAAUUUAAAUUUACUAUUUUUUUAUAAGUUUAAUUUAUGCAUAUAUGAUCCCCAUAGUCUAAGAAUUAUAAGUUUCAAUCCUAGAUUUAUUUAUUUAUUUAUUUUAGUCUUCGAGUAUUGAAAGAUGUUAGAAAAAAAAAAAAAAAAGUCAGUUGAUCACGUUCUUGUUAUCAAAAAAACCAAUCUUGUUAUCAAUGAAUUUGUCUUACAAAUAUAAGUUCUAUGAAGAAGGUUUAGAACUUUUAUCCUGUUAAAAACACAUAUCAAGACUUAGAAAGUUUUUUUAUUUAUUUAUUUGGUUUGAUUUUAGAUUUUAGACAGAUUAAAUGGUGUUUUGGAGUUAACAUGAGUUUAAUUAGGUUCUUAAAAUGUUUCUUUUUUAAUGUUUUGAGAUAAAAAAUAAAUUGAAAAAUAAUAUUUGAAGCUGCAAAACUCAUACUUUAAAUUCAAAUCAUCAAAAUGGUAAAAAUUCAAACUAGAAUGUGGCACCCAUUGUUUCUUAUUAAAAAAGGAAUAUUAGAAAAAAUAAAGCAUGGAAUAAAAGUUUUUUUUUAUGGUAAAAUGAACCAUUACUUUGAAUUAUGAUAUAAGAAGGUAAUAUGCAAUUGUUUUUUUUUAAAAAAAUGUUCAUAAAUAUUAAAUGAGAAUGAAACUAUUUUGUUAUGUUUUAUUGCAUAAUGUUUACAGAAUUUUGAUGAUUAAUUAUUCUUUAUGUUUUUCUUCUGUUGUGUACAAAUUAUUGAUUCAUGAUUUUUUAUAUUUGUAAUGAAAAUUGCUUUUCAAAUCAUGAUAAAUCUUUAUUUAAAAAACAAUACUUUUAUUAAAAAACAUGGUUUUUGAAAACCAAGAAGAAAUACAUGAAUAAUAAAAGUGAUUUUUAAUUGAAAACGAUAUAUAUUUUUCUUUUUUAAUUCAAAUCAUUAAUAUUUUUAUAAAUAAAUAUUUUAAUUAUUUGUAGUUUUUAUUCAAAAACAUGCUACUAAUUAAAAAAAAAAACAUGUUCUUGUCAUACAAAAAUACAUGAAUAAGAAAUGAAAAACUCACUUAACAUAAUUUUUACACGACUAUUUGUUUUUCUCUCCACGGAAUCGGUUGGAAGUGGACUUGACAGUUAAGAAACACGUCUAUUAGAUUGGCAACAGUUCAUAUAAAUUAUACAUCCCAUUCCGUGUUUACAUAGAAUCAAAGGCGUAGCAAAUAUUGUUUUGGCCUUUUAUUUUAUUUAAUUAAUUAAUUUUAUAUAUGUUUAUUUUUGUAUUAUUUAUUUAAAUAAAAAAUUAAUCUUUGUGCAUAGAGUUAUUAAACACGAUUGUCUUGAAGAUCCAAGUUACAAGAUUAAAUAUUUUAUCUAUAUGUGAAUUUUAACUUUUUAAUUUUUAUUUUUAUUUAUCGUUAAUGAUCAUUUAUUUAUUAACAUAUGCAUUUCUCAAUUUAUUUUAUUAUAUGUAUAAAUAAGUUUUUUUUUUAAUUUUGAUUUAAAAAAAACAUUGAAAAAAUCUACAUAUUUAUUUUUUUAUAAAAAAAUUCCAACUCUAAAUCAAAUAGCUAUUAAAAACUAACCAAUGUAGGUUUGAUAUAGAGGAUAUUGGGCUGGUAUAUCAUAUUAUUACUGUUACACCAUUAAAUAGUUUUACCGACGGUUUAAGUUCGUCGGUGUGAGGCACAAAAACCAUCGGUAAUAUUUUUACCGACGGGCUCAUCGACAAAACACGUUAGUUGAAAUUUUAAUUGUUGGUAAUUUUUCUUUUCAUCACUAAUUCUAUUAAUAAUUAAAAAAAACCAAAUAUCGACGAGACAACAGUAUAUUAUUGUAAAAACUAGCCACUAUAGCUUAGAUUGAGAGGAUAGUGGGCUGAUAUAUCAUAUUGUUACUCUUAUUAACUAUUACCACUGUAUACUUAAAAAAAAUAAAAAUGUACAUUGUUGUGCUAAAUUUGGAUAGGAAUUUUAAAGAAUGGUGUUGUUUUCUUUCAUUUUUAUCAUCAAAUAUCAUUAUGAUUAUAAUUAUAAUUAUUAUUAUUGUUAUAUUCUUGCAAGUUAAAUUUGAAUUCGCUUCUUUUUAUUUAUAAGUGUAAUUUAUGCAUAUAUGAUCCCUAUAACUUUAGAAUUAUAAGUUUCAAUCAUAGACUUAUUUAUUUAUUUAUUUAUUUCAAUCUCGGAGUGUUGAGAGAUGUUAAGAAAAUAGAAAAGAAAGAAAGAAAUUCAGUCAGUCACAUUAUGGUUAUGAAAAAAGCCAAUCUUGUUAUCAAUGAAUUUGUCUUCCAAAUAUGAGUUCUAUGAAGAUGGUUUAGAAUUUUAAUCUUGUUAAAAACAGCGAUCGAGAUUUAGAAAGUUUUUUUUAUUUGGUUUGAUUUUAGAUAUUUAGACGGAUUAAAUGGUGUUUUGGAGUUAAAAUGAAUUUAAUUAAGUUCUUAAAAUGUUUUUUUUUUUAAUGUUUUGAGAUAGAAAUAAAUUGAAAAAUAGUAUUUGAAGUUGCAAAACUCAUACUUUAAAUUCAAAUCAUCAAAAUGGUAAAAAUUCAAACUAGAAUGUGGCACCCAUUGUUUCUUAUUAAAAAAGGAAUAUUAGAAAAAAUAAAGCAUGGAAUAAAAGCUUUUUUAUGGUAAAAUGAACCAUUACUUUGAAUUAUGAUAUAAGAAGGUAAUAUACAAUUGUUUUUUUUUAAAUGUUCAUAAAUAUUAAAUGAGAAUGAAACUAUUUUGUUAUUUUUUAUUGUAUAAUUUUUACAGAAUUUUGAUGAUUAAUUAUUCUUUUAUGUUUUUCUUCUGUUGUGUACAAAUUAUUGAUUCAUGAUUUUUAUAUAUUUUUUAAUGAAAAUUGCUUUUAUUAUUCAUGUAUUUCUUCUUGGUUUUCAAAAAACAUGUUACUAUAUAUUUUGUUAUUUUUUAUUGUAUAAUUUUUACAGAAUUUUGAUGCUUAAUUAUUCUUUUAUGUUUUUCUUCUGUUGUGUACAAAUUAUUGAUUCAUGAUUUUUAUAUUUUUUUUGAAUGAAAAUUGCUUUUCAAAUCAUGAUAAAUAUUUAUUUUAAAAACAAUACUUCUAUUAAAAAAACAUGUUUUUUGAAAACCAAGAAGAAAUACAUGAAUAAUAAAAGCAAUUUUUAAUUGAAAACGCUAUAUAUUUUUAUUUUUUAAUUCAAAUCAUUAAUAUUUUUAUGAAUAAAUAUUUUAAUUAUUUGUAGUUUUUAUUCAAAAACAUGCUACUAAUUAAAAAAAAACUUGUUCUUGUCAAACAAAAAUACAUGAAUAAGAAAUGAAGAACUCACAUAACAUAAUAUUUUUUUCUCUCCGCAAUUUAAAUCAUUGUAUAUUUUUUUUAAUAAAUAUUAAUUUUAAUUACCACAAAACUAAAUGAAAACAGAUUUUGAAAACCGCCACACAAGGGAAAAAAUUAGUAAAUAUAUUAAAAGAGCUAGACUUUUUAUUGUAACUCUGAUAUUGUUCAAAUAGAAAUAAAACAUCGUGGAUUACUCCGUGGAAAAACACUGCAAUCUCUAUUGUUGACCUACAAAUAAAAAAAUAUUGAUUUUAUGCUCUAGUCCCUAAAGCUUUUAAUUUUUAGUCAUUUUAAUUUAAAGUCUCUUAGUUUUUGUCUUCAAACUUCAUUUUUAUAAUAUUUCAGUUUUUAUAUUCCGAGAAAAGAGAGAGAAAUUUUUCACUCAUCCAUAUUUAUCCGACAAAAAAAUCAAUCUUAAUAUCAAUAAAUUCAUUUUAGAUUGGGAAGGUCAAUAAAAAUGCUUUUGCUCUUUAACCAUACCAAAAAAUAGAUUGAAGCAUUUUAUUAUAGCUUUGGUAUUGUUCAAGCAUUGAUAAAACCUAUGAAAUCUCUAUUGUCCAGUAAGAAAUAAAACACUGUUCAUUUUACACUUUGAUCAUUGGAGUUUUCAAUUUUUUUUCAUAUUUAAUCCAUGUAGUUUUUAUUUUGUUCAUUUUAGUCUUGGAACUUUAUUUUCACCACAUUUUUGUUCCUAGAUUCUAAGAGAGGAGAAGGAAAAUAGUUAAAAAACAAAGAAGAUAAAUAUUUUAGCUAGCCAUAAAAGAGACUAAUGUUGGUGUUAAUGAGUUAAUUUUAGAAAGAUAAAAUUAAUGGAUGUGGUAUUUCUCCUUUAACCAUGAUGGAAAAAGUAAAUUGAGGCCUGAAAUUUUUUUUUUCCUUCUUGAUUUAUGAUUUUUUAAGUGAUUAAAUAAUAUUUUGGGAUUGUAAAUGAAGUUACCAAGGUUCAUAAUAUUUAUUUUUAAUUGUUUUUAGAUGAAAAGAAGUUGAAGUUUUGAUUUUAAGGGUCCAAAUAUCUCAGAAUCUUCUAGUACUCGAAAAUUGUACCGGUAGAUAACACGUAGUCUAACCAAGCAGAUAAUGUGUUGUCUAUUUAAUUAUUUUUUUAUAUAAAAAAAUAGGUUAGACUACAUGUAUUCUGCCCUUCCUUCCAGACUUAGGUGUGAUGGCUCUUCACCUUUUGUUUUUUUCUUACAUUUUUUAUUUUUUUAAUAAAAUUAUCUUUAAAUAAAAUUAUUAAAAUUAUUUUUGAUUGAUGAGUUUAAGUAUUGAAAUUGAAAGGACAAAGAGAGAGCCAAACUUAGAAAAUAGAUGUUGGUGCAGUCUAAACUGGAACACUGUUCGGUAAUUGGGUCAUAUCUCGAGUUCCAGGUGUCCAAAUGACCUUAACUUUUUGAAAAUAUUUGGUAAGACAUAGGUCUAUAACUUUCAUGUGGAGUCCAAGAUUUAAAAAAGUCGUUUUUAAGUCCAAAUUAUAGCAACAACGGAGAAGUCCGAAUCUGUCCUGUAGCUCAGACAUUGUUCAGUGUUGAACCCAUAUCUCGAGUUCUAGAAGUCCAAAUGACCUCAAUUUUUUUUCCUGGAAAGAUAAGACAAUUUCCUAUAACUUUUGUACGUACAGGUGGUUCUAGUUCUGAUGCUAACAAUGACGUUUUAUUUAGACAAGAAGAUAAGAGUUUUCACCAAGUCAAGAGUUGGCCACCCACUUAACAAUUAGUCAUCAAAUCAAUAGUUUCAAAUUUUGGCCUAUAAAAAAAGGCAUUUGCCAUGUAUUUAGGGGCUUGGUUGUUCAUAUCAAGAACUUGUUCUUGCUCUCUUUUUUUAUAUUUGUUUUUAUAAUUAUUAAGUUUUACUUUCAUUAGUAUUUGUUUAUGCUUUUCAUUUUCUUUCCUUUACUUAGUUAAUUUGUAUCUUAUUUAUGUUCUUGUUUUGUUUAUUUAUGUUUCUCUUCUUCAUUAUGUUUAGUUAAGUUUAUUAUGUCAAGGUGAAAAAGUUACACUAAUGGUGUAAGAAUAAGUAUAGUGUAAACUCAACAUGGACCUUAAUGUUUAAUAUUAACAUGUCUUAUCUUUUUAUCUCACUAAUUCUUAAUACCUGCUUGUUAAAUGGUUAAUCUAGAUUUGUGUUGUACAAUACUUGGUACAACAAAUGUUUGACACUCUCAUAGCCUAACCGUAUGGUAUUAUGGUAUUACCUAUACCUAUGUUGUGCAAGGAACUUGAUUUGUUGUUAACAUAAGUUAGCAUCAUGAAUUCCUGAAAAUAUUUAAAAGUUUGGUAUUACUUAAAUAAGAUAAUUAAUAUAAUCAUGUUAAUAAUUUAUAAUAAGCUAUUAAUGAUAAAUCAUCCGAUUGGAACCUCUUUUGUGUGUGGUUUCUAGUUGAAUAAUAAGAGUUUAUAGUAUACUUGUUUGAAAUACCAUUAGUGGAUCCUCUAACGUUGACAUUUGUUUUUAUCAUUGUUUAAUCUUUAUAUUAAUCUUUCAUCUCAAAGUUCUCAUCAACUUUUUCUUCAUCUUCUUUAUUAUUAUUAUUGUUGUUGUUGUUGUUGUUGUUAUUGUUAUUGUUGUUGUUGUUGUUGUUGUUGUCGUUGAUGUUGUUAUAUUAUUGUUGUCUAUAAUUUAUACAAUUAACCUCCCUGUGGUUUGACCCCGUCUUGCCUGGUUAUUUAUUACUUCGACACUCUUACACUUAGAAGAAAACAUCAAUCUUUUGGUCGUGUCAAAUUGCACUAUAAGAUAGCGAUGUGUUUUUUUUUAUAUUGUUCCUUAAGAACAAAAAAGUUUAUUUUGGUACCUAUAUUUUUGAAGUUUUACAUAUUUUUUUGGUAAUGCAUUUUUACAUACUUUAGGUGCGCUCGAGCUUGAUUUUUUUUGUCCGUCACCUUUUUUCUUCUCUUUUCAAUCAAUAUUUUUGUCUUAAAAGAAAACAAAAUAAAAUUCUAUUCUAAAUAAAAUUAUUGAUAUGAUAUUAAAAACAUUAUCAUGCUGUGCUAUAAUUUUUAAAUAAAAUUAUAGUUUUUAUGGUAAUAUUAAUAAUUGUUUUAUAAAUGAUAAACAUCAACAACAACUGCAAAUUAAAUUAAUUUUGUCUUAAUGAUAAUUUUUUAAACUCAUAAAAUCGUAGCUAAUGGAGUGAUUGUUGGAGAGGUUUAUAUUUUUUAUUACAAAACUAAUAAAUCUAAAAAGGAUGAAUUAUUUUGUGUAAGAAUUUUUAGGCCUAGAAAAAUGGGAUUUGUGCUUGUGAUAAUUAUCUAGUAUUGGAGAUGAAAAGAAAGAACCAAAAUUUUAAAGGAAUAAAUAUAAUGAUAUUUUGAUUUGCAGUGUGGUAAUAAAUAGGAGCAACAUGGGAUCAUUCCUUUCAAAGCCAAAAAGAGGAAUUUAUUGAAGGGGAAAUAAGAAAUAUUUUGUUAUUCUUAAGAGGGGAUUCUUUCUUUUAAUUGUUGGUGUUCCUGUGAUUUCUUAUAUUUAGAUGUGAUUUAUUAAUAAUAAUAAAUAAAAAUAAUAAGAAAUAGAAAGAAAUUCAUCGUCUGGAUCGUAUAUCAACAUCCAAUUAUUAAAAAAAAAUGAAAAAAGAAAAGGUUCCAUCACAACUCAUAUAGAUACAAAUAGUGGAAGCAAGAAUAUUUGACAUAUUUCAUUUUUAAGCAGAAACUUGAUUUUUCUUCCUGAAGGGUUGCAGAACAUUUCCACACUUCAAGAUCUGCGUUUCCGCCCCUGGAAUCCAGACCUUAAAAGGCGAUUGAUGGGUGAAGAGAAUUACAAGAUCAAGCACGUCCCAAAUAUUUGGAUGGUUUGAGAAUCGUUGAUUUUCCAACCAAGAAAUGGAAAAACAUUAACCACAAUAGUUUCCACAGGAAGUCUUUCAAGGAUGAAAUGCUUUUGCUUUACUCCUCAAAUAUCAUCUCCUGCUUUCUGUUCAUUUACUUCAAUAUUCUGGUGAAGUAUGCUAUCCUCUACUGUCUUGUAUACCUAAAUUUGUGCAAUCUCCAGCGGAGAAACCAGUGUACUAGACUUCAAAAAAUCCAUCUUAAUGAUGAACGAUGUGUUUAUCUAUUUGCAUUUCCUUAAUAUCUGGAUUAUUAUCUAAUUAUUCUAUAGAAUUGCCCUUCUUGUAGAUUUCUUAAGGAUUGAAUCCUUAGAAAAUCAAGGAGACAGAUCUGUCUUUCGGGUUACCAGUGAAAAUUUAUUCUUGUUUUUUUCGUUUGGAAGUGGACUUGCUAGAUAAGAAACACGUCUAUUAUAUUGACAACAGUUCAUAUAAAUUAUACAUCCCAUUCCGUGUUUACAUAGAAUCAAAGGCGUAGCAGAUAUUGUGUCUACAUCGCAUUAAAAUUUGAAUAAACCAUCGGAUGCACGAGUAUGAACUACCCUGUAUCCCUAGUUAGCCUAGAUGCUACUGUGUCCUCUUAAUGUUCUCUAAUACAGGCGUGAUAAGAACAUUUUAUUUGAUGAUAGAGCUUUCUUCUCGUCCCAUGUAUCAAGUCACUACAUUUCCAUUGGUAUUGUCGAUGAUUGCUGAUAACCUCUCCAAGAAAAGGUUAAAGGCUUCUGGUGGACUAAACAUGCUUAUUCUGACAUACUUUGGACUAGCCCCAAACCUCUCCCCACUUCUUGCUAUUAUCUUAUGCUCUCUUAAACGACUCUCCCAGUCUAUAUCCUCCUUGCUGUGCAACCAUGCAAAAGCUGUUUGCAGAAAAGCAAAAUAUGUCAGAAGAGAUUUUCAAAUGAGCCUACAAUAAAGUUGGGGUGUCCUAUUUCAAAAGUAACAAAAAUAAUAUUGAUCUAAUUAUGAGCAUUACCAGGAUUUGAAUACAUGUACUUUCCAGUGAAGUUGCAGUAAUCUCGUGGGUACUUUGGCAGACUGAAGACUCUGCUGUUCUUGACAACAUUUCGCAAUCUCUCCCACCUUUCUUUCAGAAUGCUAUGGCUAUACUCAAAGAAGUUCUCUGAAUCAGCAGUCCUACAACCUUCGCCAAGCACUCCAAGAAUCUUCGCAGCUCGAAUCUGAGAUUCUUUAGAUACACCGAUGGAACUGAUCUGCAUGUAUUCAGUCAUCUUUCUAGCUACCUCUUUAUCCUUAACAAGUGCCCAGCUUCAAUUUGGAAACAAAAUAAUUAGCAGAAAGGAACAAGAAUGAACUACAAAUUAAACACAGGCAAAGAAGAAUGAUAUAUUGUUGCGAUCUUCUUAUUCCAACAAGUCAUGCAUGGCGACAUUAAUCUCUUUAACUAAAGAAUGUCCUGCUCACCCAAUCCGGGAACCAGCAUGUCCAGUGCAUUUGGAAAAUGUGAACAGCAUAAUAUCAUGAUCCAAGGGUUGAGUGAUAGGCGUGUAUUGUGGCCAGUAGUAGGCAAGGUCAUAGACAAGCUUCCCUUCUCCACGGUUCACCACAGCUUCUCGGACAGCACCGUCAGGAUUAUUCGGCGAGGUUACGACCUCAAUAUAAGGUCCAUCCUUAUCGAAGGUGUGCGCAUCUCCCUCCCAUUUAUAGAGUCCUGAACGCAGGAAUUCUGCCUGAUCUUUAUAUCCCUGCAGGCAAUGAAUAUCACAGGCACAUAAAUGAAUUAAUCUUCCACGACGAAUGAAGGGCGCCGGAGAAUUGACCUGUCCUCUUUUUUUUUCUUUUUUCUUUUCACCAUAGACGCACCAUGAGGUAAGAAACCAAUACAUGUCUUGAAUUAGUAUUUUGUCAGUCAAGUAACAUGAACAGGAAAUUAAGAAAACUUGCAAUCACAUUAUGGAUUAAUUAAUCACAUAUGCGUAAAUAAAUGCAUGUGAAUAAGCAUGCAAGCAGUCAAGCAUUUGCAACUCUGUUGAUGCCCAAUUGCAUAUGAUAUAAUUAAAUAAACUCAAGAACCGAGGUUCUGCAGCAAAGUUUGUGGAAAAUGUGGGUAACAUGCAAAGUUGUCUGCUCCAAGGACCGCAACAAGGGAGAUGGAUUUGCUAUUUUCUAAGAUGAAACAUCUUUGUUCCUGCUCGCGUAGCAAACGCCAGGCGCAAGUUCUCCCAAGUUUUGACACAAACGAGACAUGGUCAUGUUACCUAAAUCUUAGUUUCUCUUUACGAAACAUGUUUGUCGCCAUGUCUUUUGUUACAAACAGCACUCAUUUUUAUUUAUUGAUUAAUGAGUUAUUUUAUUUGUAAGAAAUACCAUUAACGUGAUGUUCUUAUUAAAUUAAGCUCUUUCUUUUUCAGAAAUAAUCUUAAUGAUCUCGCACGUACGACUUUUUCACUGAUGGCUGCGCCGGCCAAGCUUAAUUUCCUUAACCAGGCAAAGAUGGCUCUCUAAAUAAAUAAAUACAUGAGAAAUUAAAAAAGUAAACUAAAUUUAAGCAGUUCUGUUUUAUGCAAGACAAAUAAACAAAAAAAAAGAAGAUUAUAUUAGAUACUCUUGUUGGUUUGACUUUGACUUAUCAAAACUGUCUUGGCUGGUUUCAGAUCUCCUAGGUAUACAUCCUUAGAGGAUCUGACUCCUCUAAUGUUAGAGGUGACCCGCCUCAUCAUGUCAAAAAACUAAAAUUAGAACGUUGAUUUUGAAAUUUAUAAUUUGAAUUUUCUCAAAUAAAAAAAUAACUAUUAAUUUUAAAAAUAAAAAAAGAUCUGCCCACCAAGUAAAAUAAAUCUCAAAUACUGUGUUUUAGAUUAAUAUAUAGAUUUUCUUAAUAUAACGGAUCAUGCUAUCCCUAACUUAAAGGGAGAGCUCAUUCCAAUCGUUUGAAGAUCGUCAUUGAGUUCCAUGAGUAGGUUAUUAAGCCAGUAUUGAGUCUGGUUUUACACCAUCAGAUCAAGUGAAAGCAUGUAAAGACUUGCACCAAAUUAUGUAAACUGAAAGAAGUUUGAUGAGGAAGGGAGCGGUGGCUACCGAGUAAAAAGGAGCAGCAGCUACAAGACUGACGGGGUGGCGAUCAGCCGGAGAAGAGAGAGCAUACAGAGCAGCCAUUAAGAGCUGUGUUGAACCUGUCCCAACCACGAUGUGGCGAUCCUCUGUUACUGCGUUUCCAACAACACGAUGCAGUCGCUUUAUGGCAUCACCAAGUUGUGGCUGCAAAAACCAGCAAAUGUUGCUAAUAUCACUGAAAUAGCUCAUCAAAUCACACCCUUCAAUCAUCAACGUACACUUGUCUCCCAUUUUCCUCCAGUAUGGCUCGAACAACGUUGGAUCUCCCCUGCAUUUCCGCAUAACACAUCACUUCCUCGUACGUUAAGAAAAACUCUAUCCCAGAUAACAACACUACGUGAUAAUUAUACCAAACUAAAACUGUUAAACCGUAAAUGACUAUAGCCAGGCCAUUGCACCGGCGCAAUGUAGCCACAACGAGGUGGUGUAUGCUUUUAAUUUCCGAUAGAAAACAAAAGAAUUUAAUAAACGUGAACUUACUGAUCUAGAUUGAUCAUGGAAUCCGGUGAGAGACUUGUCUUUGUGGGCUUAGUUGUCGUCGGAGAAGAGUUUUGGUUAUUGGUUGCUCCAUUCUCUAAACCGCCCAUUUUUCUCUUCUCUUUUCUUCUGUUCUUUUGGUUUCCUCAACUACAGUCAGUGCUCGUGGUUUCUCGUAUACGUGCUUUGAUGGGCUAUGCAAAUACCUGUAUUUAUACUAAAUUAAUGAUGCGUCAGAAACUCUUUUUUUUUUUUUUUCAAUUCUGUAUAUGAGAGUACAUGUUAUAUUAUACGUGGGGGUGUUUUUAUUCUUGCUUUGCUUUGGUUUUUUUAUUUUUAUUAUGUUACCAAGCAUCUAGACUUUUGUAGUUAUAUUAUUCUAUAUUUUCUCAAGAAAAGUUGCAAGAUUAUCUGUCAAAUGCAAUUUUGCUUGUUUCCAUUCCAUAAUUAUUCCUAACCCAUAUUAACAUAUUAUCAUUGAUGGAAAGAUACAAUGAAUUCAAAACAUCAUAUGUGUUGUCUUAAAAAAAUUAGUUUGUAGUUAAAAAUAAUUUUUAAAAAAUAAAAACAAUAUUAUUUUAAUGUAUUUCCAAGUAAAAAGCAUUUUGAUAACAAAAUCAACUAUAUUAUCAAACAAACCCUGAAUUUUGAUGAUAACAUUUGAGAAAUUAUUAGUUUUUUUUAACGUACUAAACUGAUAUAAGGGGUGUAUUUUUAAUUUAUCUAGAAAAAAAAAAUCAAUCUCAAUACCUUUAUUGUUGAAAAAAAAACUAACAUGCAAUGUACAUAUAUCACGCUGCUCACGGGCUCCAAAACCUAUCAAAACAGAAUCUGAUCGCACGCGCGCGCGCACAUACAUGAUAUUUAAAAUACACAUAGCAUAAAUCAUGAGAGAUAUUGUAGAAAAUGAAGUUCCUAAAUGAGAAAUAAAUGAGAAACAUGCAAUAUAUCAACCAAUGAAUUAAGAGUGUAUUUAAAAAUGUGAUGGAAUCUUGCUUCUAAUUAAGGGUUUUAAAUUUUUUAUGUUUUUUAAUUAUUUUGAUGUGCUGAUAAAAAAAAAAAUUUAAAAUUCAUUUUAAAAAAAUUAUUUUAGAAAAGCUCAAUUCCCAAUCAAUUUAAUAUUGAAGGAUAGAAUCAUAAAAAAAAUCAAUUUAGAAAAAUAACUCGAGAUAACUAGUGAUAUUUUUAAAAUCAAUGAAAAAAUAAAUAAAUAAUAAUAAAGCCUACUCAGCCUAGCCUCCAAUUGAAUAAAUGAUAAAGGAUAAAAUUAAAAAAAAAUCAAGUAAACCCAGACGAACCUUCUAUAUUUAGGUUAACCUCUAAACUCACAACCCUUAAAAUCCUGGAUCUGGACUUAAUAUAGAGGCUAAAUCCCUGACCAAUUUAAUAUUAAAGGGUGAAUCCAAAAGAAACUUGGGCAUUUAUUACUUGGAUCAUAUUCGCGAUUUAUUUCCAUACUUGAACAAAUAAGAAUUUGGAAGGUUUAAAUUUUGUAAUUGUCGCUUCUAUAAUAGAACAGUUAAAUAGGAAAAACAAUAACAGUUUAAAAAACUUGUCAAAGUAAAAAAAAAAAAAACAAUAACAGUGAAAAAAGUUAGAAUCAAAUUUUAUAGGAAAAAGAGUCAAGGAAGAUGAAAAUAUGAAAAAGUUAAUUUAAAAAACCAUUUCAAACAAACCAAAUAGAAAUCAAAAAAAUGAAAAUCAAAUUUGAAAGAUUUAAAAAGUAAAAGGGGAUGAAAUUAAAAAAGAAUUCUGAUUUUAUAUAUUAUUCAAAAAAUUAUUACAAAUAUUGAAGGAUGAAAUUAAAAAAAAAAAAAUUUUAAAACUCACCCAAAGAAAAUUCAACAAAGAACAAAAAAAAAAAACCUUGAGAUAAGUUGAGUCAUUUAAAAAAUAAGUGAAAAACUCUAUAGAAAGCUAAUAAAUAAAAAUAACAGAGCUUAAUCUCUAAUUGAAUAAAUAUUAAAUGAUAAAAUUAAAAAAACAUGAGCUUAAAAAAUAAUUAAAAAAAAACAAGCAAACAUGAGCGAAUCACUUAAAGUCAAGCUAAUAUCUAAAACUUGCAACCUAUGCGAUCCUAAACCCGAACACAAUUAAGAAGCCUAAUUCAUAACUAAUUUAAUGUUGAAGGAAGAAAUCGAAAAAAAUACAAAUUUAAAAACUUUGUCAAAGUAAGAAAAAUAACAAUCAAAAGAAUGAAAAUCAAAUUUGAUAGGAAAAUAAACUUAGGGAGAAUGAAAUAAUAGAAAAAAAUAUUAAAAAUAAUCUCAAACAAAAUAAAUAGCAAUCAAUAAAUUGAAGAUCAAAUUUGAAAGAUAAAAAAAGUGGAAGAGGGGGAUGAAACUGAAAAGGAAUUCUAAUUUUGAUUAUUAUUCAAAGUAAAAUAAAUAAUAAUUAAAAAGGACAGUGACCAAAAGUUAAGAGAAAAAAUUAAAGGGAUUGGUUUGAAAUUUUGAACAAUUUGACUCAAAAUUUGAGGUGGAAAGAGAAGGAGGAAAAACAAGAAAUCGUUGUCAGUAUCAAAUACGAGGUGUGUUUAAUGCACAUGCCAUCCCGUCGUUGAGAGGAUACGAAAACCUUUUUAAAGUGUCAUUAAAUAUCGUGUUUGGUGACCAGACAAAUUGAUAAGCACCACUUGAAAGGUACUGGGAUCAUCGACUUGCUUGUGCGUGCCAUACACGUGUUUAAAGGUUUUUUUAAAAAUAAUGUUUAAUAAUAUUCAUAUAUAAAAGUGCUCUGAUUCUCUUUGAUAUUUUAAAAAAAAAGGCCACAAUAAAAGGACCGAAAGGCUCCUAAAAGAGAAUUUAGUGGAAUAUGUCAUUUAACUAUUUAAAAAUAAAAUUAAAAAUUAAAAUUAAAAUAAUCCUAAAUAUAUAUUAAUUUUUUUUUUAUUUGAGGGAUAACUAUAUAAUUUUAUUGUGCAUAAAUAAUAAGAAGAUUAAUAUGAACACAUUACAUUGCCCGUAAUGUCUAAGAUAAAGGUUUUAUUGUUUACGAAAUUUUUUGGUAUUAUGUUAUUAUAAUAAACAGUGUUUAGAUUCUUGAUUUUAAUUUUUUUAAUUUAAUUUAAUUUAAUUUGUUAGACUUUCCCUUUAUUAAUAUUUAAUAUAAGUGUGCGUUUAGAUUAGUAUUAUUAAGACAAUUGAUCUUUUUAUUAUUUUUAUUCAGUUGAUUCUCUCAAUUUUACCUAAAUUAUUUUUUAAAAUAUUUUUUUCUAUUGCUUAUGUUUUUUUCAUUAAAAAAAGGCAUAUAGCACACUCGAACGUCCACCAACACAUGAUUUGCUUUGUGCAAGAAAACAGAAAUCCAUGACUGAUGGUCGGUCGGCUUGAAUAUCAUGUGCCAUCAAUGAUGAUGAUGCAUGUGCUAUUCACUGAUAAAACAUGGGGCUUUUCAAACGUUCUUUGUAUUUAGACUUGUUAUUAUUAACAAAACAAUUAAAAGAUAAAUAAAUUAAAAUAUUGUUUCGGUUUCACGAGUGAGAUGAACAGUUAAACAACUGGCUUUCUUUUUUUCAUUUUCUUUUUUAUCUUUUAUCAUACCUUUUUAUAUAGCCUAUUUAGAAAACAAUUAGGCUUGGAAUUAUAAUAAAAAUAUAAAAUUUAAAGAUAAAAAAUUAACAAGUAAAAUAUAAAUAAAAUAUAUAGCAAACCACACAAUAAAAGUCCUUCUAUUUCAUUUGUAAUUAUAAAUUCAAUUCAAUAUUAAUUUAGAUGUUUAUUUUUCACCCACUUUUGUGUAAAACGUGCUAGCCUGACUUGCCAGACCCAACAUCACUUGAUUUUUUUAAAAAAAAAAUAUUUUUUUAAUUAAUGCCCUUAUAUAUAUAUAUAUAUAUAUUCAAAAUAAUUUUUAAAUUUAUAUGUAAAUAAUGCCUCAUUUUUCUUUUAUUUUGUUUAUCUAGACUCUUUUAAAUAAAUAUUAGUUUUUAGUUAUUUUAUAUGCAUUUAAAUUUUAGAGAGAUUAUUUUAAUUCAUCUAUAUUUUUUAUAUAUUUUAUAUAAAUGAAAUUUAUUUUAAAAAAAUUUAAAUAUUUAUUUUUGGAUAAUAUUUUUAAUAUAUGUAAUCUUGUAUAAUAUUUUUUUUUAUCUUUUAUUUAUUAAUUAAUUUCAUGUGUAUCUAUUUUUAUUAUCACUUAUUUAAAUAAAAAAUUAAUUUUUGUAAACAGAGUUGUGAAUUUUUGUAAAUUAAUUUUUAUUAUCUUGGUCUAUAUGUGACUUUCAAUUUUUUAGUUUUUAUCUUUAUUUAUCAUUAAUGACUUUUUAUUUAUUUAUUUAUUAAUAUAUAUUAAUUUAUUUUAUUAGAUGUACCUAUAAGUUUUUUAAUUUUAAUUAAAAAAAAUUUAAAAACAUAUAUAUUUAUUUUUUAUAUAUAAAAAAAAAUCCUUCCCACAACAAAGUACAAGUGAAAGAGCUAUUAAAAACUAGCCAGUAUAGGUUUGAUAAAGAGGAUAUUGGGCUGGUAUAUCAUAUUAUUACUGUUAUUAAUUUUUACCACUAUAUAAUAAAAAAUAACAACAGUGCAUUAUUGUGCUCAAUUUGGGCGGGACUUGUCGCACGUGUGUGGCGGCACGGCGAUCGUCCACCCUCAAGGAAAAAUCAGAAUAAUUUAUUCCUGGCAAAUAAAAUAGGGAGAGACAAGGAAUUCUUGUCUCUACAAGUGAAAAUAUGGACUGGGAGUCGCCACCUAGUAUUCUGGUUACUAGGAACCUUAACUGGUCUUUAGAGAUCGGGUACGGAGACUAGUUGCGUAAAGGGAAGGUAUUAGCACCACAACUACGUCCUACUUAAGGUAGACUGCAUUGUUUUAAUGUCUGAUAAAAUCUAAAAUCGUGUUGUGGUUUUUUUGAAUUUUUGGUUCGUUUACGGUUUAAGAAAAGUCCUCCUCUGUAAGGAGGUCCUUAUCUUUAUCGGGUAAAAAAAGUACUAUUCGAAGUCGUCAAAAGAAAAUAUUUUUUUAAUAUCAGGAAUACGAUUUACGCAUAAAUUCAUAAUCCCUGAUACUAAAAUCAAACAAAAUAAAAUAUUUGUUGUUUUUUGAAAUUUUGGCCAAUGUUCUCUUGACUUUAAUAAACUGGUUAUUAAAGCCAAAAUGCAUGCUAAAAUAUUGUUUUUUGACAUAUGAAAAAUACGAUAUGAUUUUUUAGAUUUGAGACACUUGGCCGUAUGUACAAAAACAUUUUUUUAUCUUUUUUUCAAUUUUUUUUUAUUUUUGGAAGUUUUUGCCGAAAACCGAGUAUUUUAAUACCGGAUUUAUAUUUUUACGAUGUAAAAAUACUGCCCGAUAUCAAUCAAAAUGACAUACAAACGACGCGGAAAAAUUAUAAAAUGCCGAAACAAAUAUUUUUGAUUUUUUAUGUUGUGUGAACAGUACCGCGGGACGAAAACCGGGUAUUUUAAUACCGAAUUUAUAUUUUUACGAUGUAAAAUACAGACCGAUAUUAAGCAAAAUUGAUAAAAAAAAAAAUGUGCUAAAAAAUUGUAAAAAAACUUCUGAAAAAAAAAAUUGAAAAAAAAAAAUUGAAAUGGGCCGGGUCCGGUAACCAGCCCUCUUCAGCUGCAGAACGUGAAUUAAUUCACGUUCUGCAUGCAAACGAGGGAGGCAGCAAACGGAGAAGGCGACAGGGCGGCGAGAGAUUACCUGCGGUGACGUCGUGGCGGUGCUGCCGGCGGCGUAGGCACGGUGGCGGAGGCCGGCGGUGGUUCUCUCUCUCUCUCUUCUGUUUUUCUUCGUUUUCUUCCCUGCUGCUUCUUCUUCUUCUUCUUCUUCUCUGCCCUCUCUCUUCUCUUCUCUUCUAUCUCGGUUCGUCUCCCUCUCCCCUCUGUUCUUCCUCUCCUUCUUCGGUUCCCUUCCCCUGUUUUUAUAGGCAAAAACAGGGGAAGGCCGAAUGGUGGGGCGGCCACUAUUGGCCGCCCCUCCACUAUCUGUUCAAAAGGUGGCAAGUGGGCUGGUGUGGUAGGUGUCUUAUUGCGCAAAAAUAGGGAAAGAGGUUAGGCGAAAAGGGAGAAGAAAAAUCUUCUUCUUCCCCUGCCUCGCGUGUCCAGGGGAAGAAGAAGAGCUACAGUGCCGUCAAAACGGCACCGUUUUGGGCAUCUGUAUUUUAUUUUUUUUUUUUUUGCAACAGUGAAUGAAACGGCGCCGUUUUGGUCAAAACGCGCCGUUUCAUUUAAAAGGAAAAGGCGCCAAAAGCAUCAGAUUCAAAUUUCGGCCCUCCAUUUGCGCGCGUUUUACAAUUUAGUCCUUGGUCUCGGAUUUCUUCAAUUAAGUCCCUAAUUGGCCAUUAAACUUCAAUAUUUAUGCAAUUAAGCCCCUAAUUUGACCAAAUUAACUUCCAAAAAUUUAAAUUUGACCCCAGAAAAUUAAUUCCUCCUAAUUAAAGCCCAAAUUAACUCCAAAAUCAAUUUUUCUUGCAAUUAAAAUCUUCAUAAAUGCAAUUAAACCUUCAAUAAAAUUUAAUUGAGUCCAUAAACUUCUAAUUUUGCAUUUUUCUUCCUCAAAAUUGAAUUUUCUUUAUCAUCGGGGCUCUCAUCAGUCAAUGAUAUACUGUCAAAAAUUAAUUUUUAUACUUUUGAACAUCCUCAAUCAAUUUUUGAACAUUUUUAGAGCGCUCUGGCAUUUUUUCACUGUUAUAUUUUUUGAUAAUAUAUUUUUUUGAAUUUUUUUAUAUUUUUUUUUAUGUGGGGACCCAAAAAUGGGUUACAACAGGACUUUUCAAGAACAAUGUUGUUUUCUUUCAUUUUGGUCAUCAAUGAUGAUGUUGUUUUUGCGUAUUCUUGGAAGUUAAAUUUGAAUUUGCUUCUCUUUGUACUCAUUGUUUUAGAGACAUAAGAAUUUGAAUUUAUAGUAAAAAAAAAUUAAAAAAACAAGUACCAAAAUAACUAAUAACAAUAUUAUCUAUUGUUCGAAUGAUGCAUAAAAAUAUAAUUUCAUCCUUAAAGUUUAAUUUAUGCAUAUUUGAUCUCUAUAGUCUUAGAAUUAUAUGUUUCAAUCUUGGACUUCUUUUUUUAUUUAUUUAUUUUAGUCUUUAAGUGUAGAGAGAUGCUAGAAAAAAAAGAAAAAAAAGACAUCACUCAGUCAGUUAAAAAAAUCAAUCUUGUUAUCAAUAAAUUUGUCUUACAUAAAUAAGUUCUAUAAAGAUGGUUUAGAAUUUUUAUCCGGUUAAAGUCAAAAACACAAAUUGAGGCUUAGAAUUUUUUUUUCUUUGGUUUGAUUCUAGAUGUUUAAUAGAUUGGAGGGCAUUUUGGGGUUAAAAUGAGUUUAAAGAGGUUCUUAAUAUAUACAUGUGUGUGUGUGUGUUUUAAAGUAAAAAUAAGUUGAAAAAUAGGUUUUGAAGUUGUAGAACUCAUACUUUAAAUUCAAAUAAUCAUGAAAGGUCAAAAUUCAAACUAGAAUGUGGUGCCUAUUGUUUUUUAUUAAAAAAAAAUAUUAGAAAAAAUAAAGCAUGGAAUAAAAGAUUUUUUAUGGUAAAAUUAACCAUUACUUUGUGAAUUAUGAUAUAAGAAGGUAAUAUGCAAAGUUUUUUAAAAAAUGUUCAUAACUAUUAAAUGAGAAUAAAACUAUUUUGUUAUUUUUUAUUAUAUAAUUUUUACAUAAUUUUGAUGAUUAAUUAUUCUUUUAUGUUUUUCUUCUAUUGUGUACAAAUUAUUGAUUCAUGAUUUUUAUAUUUUUUUAAUGAAAAUUUCUUUUCAAAUCAUAAUAAAUCUUUAUUUAGAAAACAAUACUUCUAUUAAAAAACAUGUUUUCUAGAAACAAGAAAGAAAUGCAUGAAUAAUAAAAGCGAUUUUUAAUUGAAAACGAUACAUUUUUCCCUUUUUUAAUUCAAAUAAUUAAUAUUUUUAUGAAUAUUUAUUUUAAUUAUUUUUAGUUUUUAUUCAAAAACAUGCUACUAAUUAAAAAAAAAAACAUGUUCUUGUCAAACAAAAAUACAUGAAUAAAAAUUGAAAAACUCACCUAACAAAAUAUUUUUUUUCUCCACAAUUUAAAUCUUUGUGUUUUUUUUUACAAAUAUCAAUUUUAAAUACCACAAAACUAGAUGAAAAAAGAUUUUGAAAACCGCCGCAUAAGGGAAAAAAUUAGUAAAUAUAUUAAAAGAGCUAGACUUUUUAUUGUAACUCUAUAUUGUUCAAAUAGAAAUAAAACAUUGUGAAUUACUUCGUAGAAAAACAAAGCAAUCUCUAUUGUUCACCUACAAAUAAGACAAUAUUAAUUGUAUACUCUAGCCCCUAAAGCUUUUAAUUUUUUAAUUUUUGGUCCUUUUAGUUUAAAGCCCGUUAGUUUUGGUCUUUAAAUUUCAUUUUUAUAAUAUUUCAUACCCUGUAUUCUAAGAGAGGAGAGAACAACUUCUUACUGAUUCAUAUUUAUUUCACACAAAAAUCAAUCAUAGUAUUAAUAAGUUCGUCAUCUUAGAAAGAAAAUGUAAAAUGAAGGUGCCUUUUCUAUUUAACUACACCUAAAAAUAGAUCAAAACAUUUUAUUAUAGAAACAAAACACUAUUCAUUUUACACUUUUAUCAUUGUAGUUUUUAAAUUUUUUUUUCAUAUUCGAUCCAUGUAAUUUUUGUUUUGUUCAUUUUAGUUUUCAAACUUUAUUUUCAUCACAUUUUUGUUCCUGGAUUCUAAGAGAGGAGAAAGAAAAUUGUUGAAAAACAAAAAAAAAUAUAUUUUUUAGCUAGCCAUAAAAGAGACUAAUCUUGGUGUUAAAAACUUCAUUCCAAUUAUUAGGAAUUUUUAUUGAAUUUCUUUAAGUUUGUACGGAAAAAACCAUGUUGUUGAUAAAAACAAAAAUCAUGGCUAUGUCAAAUUAUUGAAAUUAUUUCAAGUAUUUAUUUUAAUAGUCAUAAAAUCAAAUAUAAGCAGGUUUUAAAAUGACCCUGCGACUUCCUGUGGAUAACAAACUAGUAAACUAAACUAAAAUUGAGAAUAAAAUUGUAUUUUAAUCACAUUGUUUUUGUCUGUUACCUUUUUUCUUCUCUUUUCAAUCAAUUUUUUGUCUUAAAAAAUAGAGAAUAAAAUUGUAUUCUAAAUAAAAUUAUUGAGACGAUAUGCCAUGCUACAAUUUUUAAAUAAAAUUAUAGCUUUUAUGGUAAUAUUAAUAAUUGUUUUAUAAAUGAUAGACAUCAAUAACUAUGAAUUAAAUUAAUUUUUUCUUAAUGAUAAUUUUUCAAACUCAUAAAAUUGUAGCUAAUGGAGUGAUUAUUGGAGAGGUUUCAAAACUUUAUACUUUUUAUUACAAAACUAAUAAAUCUAAAAAAAAUGAAUUAUUUUGUGUAAGAAUUUUUAGGCCUAUAAAAAUAGGAUUUGUGCUUCUGAUAAUUUUUUUGUAUUGGAGAUGAAAAGAAAGAAUAAAAAAUUUUAAAAGGAUAAAUAUAAUGAUAAUUUGAUUUUCAGUGUGGUAAUAAAUAGGAGCAACAUGCAUGGGAUCAUUCCUUUUAAAACCAAAAAGAAGAAUUUAUUGAAGGGGAAAUAAGAAAUAUUUUGUUAUUCCUAAGAGUGGAUUCUUUUUUUUUAAUUGUUGGCGGUCAUAUGAUUUUUUAUAUUUAGACGUGAUUUGUUAAUAGUAAUAAAUAAAGAUAAUAAGAAAUAGAAAGAAAUUGAUCACCUGGAUCGUGUAUAGAAUAAAUAGUUUAAUGGAAGUCAGAAUUUUCAAAAAUAUUUGGAACAUUUCAUUUUUAAAUAGAUGAUUUUUUUUUCAAGUGUUCACAAUUAUAUAUUAAUCAAGCUAAUCCUUUGAAUCUAGAUCAAACUUGUAACCAUGUUUUUUUCAAGUCUGGCACCAAUCAAUUCGACUACAAAGAAUAAUUUUUAUUAAAAUAUGUGCAAUUUAUUAAAAACUUUCUUUAGAUAUAAAAUUUUGAGUAUUCAAUGAACCUAAUAUGCAUAUUUUUUUAAACAAAUUGCUUAUGAAUAUUGUAUGAAAAUAAAAUAUUUUUUUCUUUAUUAAAAAUAUUUUAUAUAAUUUUAUUAAAUUAAUUAUUCUUCUAUUUUUUUCAUAUAGUCAUGUAAAAAUUACCAAAGCAUUUGUUUGUUUGUUUGUUUACUGUGUCUUGUUUUUCAAAUCUAUAGGCAACUAGAUAAGCAAAUUAAAAUCUGCAGCAACCAUCCUUUGACAAAUGUUAUGAAUUUAGGCUAUGGGGUAGGUGGGAGGGUCGGAUUUUUUUAAUAACCAAGCAUUAUAUACUUUAUCUUUCGGCCCCCACCAACGCAGGAAGCACCUCGGCUGGUUCGUUGCCAUCACAGACGUUGACUUCAAAUAUUACUAGAUACAAAGUAAAUAAUCUUACAAUACUGUGAUGCACAGCAGAUGCAAAUCAGGACUUCAUUAGGGUUUGUCUGAGCUUGUAAUAUCCAACCAUGCCUUAUUUCAACUUCACUCAAGAGAUAGGCGAACCUGACUUGGUUACCGGGGAAAUUCCGGGGAUUAAAUCUGAAGCUAGUUUUUUUCUAAGCACAUCAGCAGCAGAAGGAUUACGCUCAUCAAGAGUCGCUGACAUCACAGGUGAGAGUUCUUCUUCAGAAUCUUUCAAAUCAAAUUAUGCAAAGCUUCCUGAUUACCUUAAGUCAUGCCUAGACUACUCUGCCAUUGUUUGUGGGAGAUAUGGUGUAGAGAUAGGAAAACUAGUUCGGCUUUUGUUGGCUGAAGGUCUUAUAGAAGACAGACCAGGGGAUAUCAUGGAGGAUGUAGCAGCAAAUGUUCUCAAGGAAUUGAUUGACCUAGGAAUGCUUCAAGAAGAACGACAAGGGACUGAAGUAAAAGUCCCUGCAUCGUAUCUCCGGUUAUGUAUUCUUAAAUUGGAGAAACAAGAUUUUGUUUCUAAAACUGCAAACUCACCUGUGCGUUUAGGGAUCAGAGAUGAUGGAAGGGAUAUCUAUCCUAAAGUUGAAGGCCUUCUAAUUCAUUCUCUGUUUAUUCUCGGUGCAGACCGCCGUGCUUAUUUUGAUUCUUACCGAGGCCUUUCACGGGCCUAUAUGAGAAAUGUUUGUGGUAUGCACUUUCUGUUGGUGUUGGAUUUGGAUUGCUGGAUAGAGCGCUUACCUGAUGAAUUGGGAGACUUGAUUCACCUGAGGUACUUGGGCUUGUUUAACUCAAAUCUAGAUGAGCUUCCAGGGACUUUAGGGAAUCUUAAAAGACUGCAAACUUUGGAUAUAAGGUGGUGUGGA